This 253-nucleotide ribosomal RNA is filed under the name uncultured bacterium. RNAcentral describes it as "partial 16S ribosomal RNA". It matches the Rfam family "Bacterial small subunit ribosomal RNA", at positions 524 to 776 of the family's 1533-position model. The record is from RNAcentral.
UACGUAGGGACCGAGCGUUGUCCGGAAUCAUUGGGCGUAAAGAGCGUGUAGGCGGCCACUUAAGUCCUGCGUGAAAUCUUGCGGCUCAACCGCAAGCGGUCGUGGGAAACUGGGUGGCUAGAGUUCGGGAGAGGAGAGUGGAAUUCCUGGUGUAGCGGUGGAAUGCGCAGAGAUCGGGAGGAAGGCCGGUGGCGAAGGCGGCGCUCUGGAACGUUUCUGACACUGAGGCUCGAAAGCGUUGGGAGCAAACAGG